Molecule: unclassified non-coding RNA, 195 nt
Filed under: uncultured Cortinariaceae
Lineage: Eukaryota; Fungi; Basidiomycota; Agaricomycetes; Agaricales; Cortinariaceae
Description: sequence contains ITS1
Source: RNAcentral
UUGAAAUAAACCUGAUACGUUGCUGCUGGCUCUCUAGGGAGUAUGUGCACACUUGUCAUCUUUAUAUCUCCACCCUGUGCACUUUUUGUAGACCUUGGGAUGAAUUGGCUGUAAUGCCUGUUCUUACAUUUUCCCUGGUCUAUGUUCUACAUAUACUCUAAAUCUAUUGUCAUUUUGUGUCUAUAAAAUGUUAUA